UGUGCCGUUAGGGCCCAAGUGGAGAGGUCCUUAUGUUGUUCUUCUGUCUACCCCUACAGCGAUAAAAGUAGCCGAAGUGACUCCGUGGAUACAUCACUCCAGGGUUAAACCAGCAGCAGCCGAUUCCUGGCAAGUUACAGCAAAUCCAGAGAAUCCCUGCAAGAUCCGGUUAAAACGCACGACUCAGUCGGAGUGACGGGGAAUCUUGUGGAUUGCAAAUUUUAUUGUUUCAGAGACUUGGUAAGUGAGUGAGAAGGCCAUAAUAAAGCCUGUCCACUCACCAACGAGUGUAUAAGUCAGGGAAAGUCUUGAGGGGACCCCUGUGAAGAUGAGCAGAACUCCAUUCCCUGCAGACCUUACAUCCUGGAAGCUGAGGUGCCUUCGCAC
This is a non-coding RNA of Pelobates cultripes (western spadefoot toad), 387 nucleotides long. Lineage: Eukaryota; Metazoa; Chordata; Amphibia; Anura; Pelobatidae. The record is from the annotation of a GenBank genome assembly.